UACGUAGGGCGCAAGCGUUGUCCGGAAUCAUUGGGCGUAAAGAGCUCGUAGGCGGUCUGUCACGUCGGCUGUGAAAUCCCGAGGCUCAACCUCGGGUCUGCAGUCGAUACGGGCAAACUAGAGUAUUGCAGGGGAGACUGGAAUUCCUGGUGUAGCGGUGAAAUGCGCAGAUAUCAGGAGGAACACCGGUGGCGAAGGCGAUCAUCUGGGGUUGUUCUGACACUGAGGAGCGAAAGCUAGGGGAGCAAACGGG
This 253-nucleotide ribosomal RNA is filed under the name uncultured bacterium. RNAcentral's name for it is "partial 16S ribosomal RNA". It matches the Rfam family "Bacterial small subunit ribosomal RNA", at positions 524 to 776 of the family's 1533-position model. The record is from RNAcentral.